RNAcentral lists this long non-coding RNA (1419 nucleotides) under Sus scrofa (pig). RNAcentral's name for it is "lncRNA (ENSSSCG00005017281.1)". The record is from RNAcentral. Lineage: Eukaryota; Metazoa; Chordata; Mammalia; Artiodactyla; Suidae.
GUAAAUGCAAACAAAAGAGAACACGUGAGUGGCUAUGUCAGACAAAGCACAGUUUAAGGGAAUAAGCAGCGUCAAGCAGGAUAAAAAGGGUAAUUUUAUAUUCAUAGGCACAAUUGUGAAAGCAUAAAUGUUCUGAACAUUUGUACACUUAGUAUUUUAGCAUCAAAAUACUUGAGGCAAAACCCGUUACCAUUAAAAAUACAAGAUGAAGACAGUUGUGGGCAUAAAUUUACAUACGAUUCUCAGUACCUGACAUCAAGUAGCCAAAAUGUAUAUAACAGAAAGGAGUAAUAUCAUGAAGACGAUUGAAUUAAAAGGCAGGUGCUGAACUUUGUACCAGCCUAAAGGAUUUUUUUUUGUCAUGUUUUAAAAGUCCAAUCAUAGAUUGAUGCUUCUAGUAUGUUAAAUUGUGUACAAAUGUAUAUAUACAGUAUAAUUAUCAUUGCCAUUUUAAAAGCUCUAAACCACUGAAAACCCACUGAAAGCCACUGAAAGAAAACACACCAAAACGUUAACAUUUGAUGUUUAGAAAGGGUGGAAAUUAAACAUUUAACAUUUUUCUUUCCACUUUUUCCUCAAUGUUCUUUAAUGAUCAUGUAAUAUUCUAUGACUAAGAAGAAGAUAACUGGAAAAAAGAGUUAAGACUUAUCGCCAUAGCAUAAGAUUUAUAAUUUCCAAGAUCUGGGUAAACUUUAACAAACUAGAGCAGUGAGCAGUAAUCCUAGCAGGUUCCACCCAACCCGGGCCUCCUGGCUUCAGCAGGCCCUCCUGGUCACUCCCUCCUUGAAACCUCUGCUUCUCUGCCUUGGGGCACUGUGUUCUCCCAACUCGGUUCCCACCCCUUCUACUGUGCCUUUCAACCCUUCCACCUGCACUGGCAGCUCAAGGGUGGUUGUCUUGAGACAGAUUCUGGCCUUUCCCCCUCUGCCCAUACCCCUGGUGACCUCACCUACUCUUGUAGAGGGCUCUAUAAGCCAAGGAUUCCUGGAUUCAUCUCUAGCUCCAAGUUCAUCACAAAGUAUCAAGGGCGUACAUGAGCCUGCAGACUGGCCACCAUCCCAUACAGGGGUGGCAGGCACAGUGGACAUGCCUUCAGAGCAAACUGUCACUGAAUUCUCUCUGAAGACAUGGUGAUGAGGCACAGGGCUUGAGUGUGACACGGGGGGUAGGUAGGGGGUGUUCCCGUCAUGGCGCAGCAGAAAUGAAUCUGACUAGGAAUCAUGAGUCUGUGGGCUCAAUCCCUGAUCCCUGGCCUCAAUUAGUGGGUUAAGGAUUCAGCAUUGCGGUGAGCAGUGGUGUAGGUUGCAGACGCAGCUCGGAUCUGGCAUUGCUGUGGCUCUGGCAUAGGCCAGAGGCUACAGAUCCAAUUCAACCCCUAGCCUGAGAACCUCCACGUGCCAUGGGUGCGGCCUUAAAAAG